Molecule: ribosomal RNA, 818 nt
Filed under: human gut metagenome
Description: bacterial SSU rRNA
Rfam family: Bacterial small subunit ribosomal RNA
Source: RNAcentral
AGAGUUUGAUCCUGGCUCAGGACGAACGCUGGCGGCGCGCCUAACACAUGCAAGUCGAACGGAGCUGAGAGGAGCUUGCUUUUCUUAGCUUAGUGGCGAACGGGUGAGUAACGCGUGAGUAACCUGCCCUGGAGUGGGGGACAACAGUUGGAAACGACUGCUAAUACCGCAUAAGCCCACGGAUCCGCAUGGAUCUGCGGGAAAAGGAUUUAUUCGCUUCAGGAUGGACUCGCGUCCAAUUAGCUAGUUGGUGAGGUAACGGCCCACCAAGGCGACGAUUGGUAGCCGGACUGAGAGGUUGAACGGCCACAUUGGGACUGAGACACGGCCCAGACUCCUACGGGAGGCAGCAGUGGGGGAUAUUGCACAAUGGGGGAAACCCUGAUGCAGCGACGCCGCGUGGAGGAAGAAGGUUUUCGGAUUGUAAACUCCUGUCGUUAGGGACGAUNAUGACGGUACCUAACAAGAAAGCACCGGCUAACUACGUGCCAGCAGCCGCGGUAAAACGUANGGUGCAAGCGUUGUCCGGAAUUACUGGGUGUAAAGGGAGCGCAUGCGGACCGGCAAGUUGGAAGUGAAAACUAUGGGCUCAACCCAUAAAUUGCUUUCAAAACUGCUGGCCUUGAGUAGUGCAGAGGUAGGUGGAAUUCCCGGUGUAGCGGUGGAAUGCGUAGAUCUCGGGAGGAACACCAGUGGCGAAUGCGACCUACUGGGCACCAACUGACGCUGAGGCUCGAAAGCAUGGGUAGCACACCGGAUUUGAUACCCUUGGUAGUCCAUGCCGUANACGAUGAUUACUAGGUNUUGGAGGAUUGACC